Molecule: ribosomal RNA, 253 nt
Filed under: uncultured bacterium
Lineage: Bacteria
Description: partial 16S ribosomal RNA
Rfam family: Bacterial small subunit ribosomal RNA
Source: RNAcentral
UACAGAGGGGGCAAGCGUUAUUCGGAAUUAUUGGGCGUAAAGGGUGCGUAGGCGGCGUGGUAAGUCGGGUGUGAAAUCUCGGAGCUUAACUCCGAAACUGCAUUCGAUACUGCCGUGCUUGAGGACUGGAGAGGAGACUGGAAUUUACGGUGUAGCGGUGAAAUGCGUAGAUAUCGUAAGGAAGACCAGUGGCGAAGGCGGGUCUCUGGACAGUUCCUGACGCUGAGGCACGAAGGCCAGGGGAGCAAACGGG